RNAcentral lists this unclassified non-coding RNA (354 nucleotides) under Hevea brasiliensis (rubber tree). The record is from RNAcentral. Lineage: Eukaryota; Viridiplantae; Streptophyta; Magnoliopsida; Malpighiales; Euphorbiaceae.
GAGGCAGAGGGCGGCGUCGCUGCUGCCACACCUCGUCAAGACGCUCCGCCGAGAAUCGCCGAAGCCCUCGAAUCAGUCGCUCCCUUCUCUCAGGCGCACGUUCUCCCUCUACGACCAGAUUAAUCUCAUCGACACCAUCCCCGACGAUCAAUUGCGGUUCCAAGGGUAUUCUGACACAGGAUUUACAGUUAAUGGCGUGAAGCACGAAGGGAGCUUACUUGUUAUAGAAAACAAGCUGAUGUCGUGGGCUCCCAAAAGAUUUUCUGAGAUUACAGCUGAGAGUUUAUCUGUAUUCAAAAUUGUGCGUCCUGUUCCAGAGAUUUUGAUUCUUGGCUGUGGGAGGAAUAUUGAGUU